This 749-nucleotide ribosomal RNA is filed under the name uncultured bacterium. RNAcentral describes it as "bacterial SSU rRNA". It matches the Rfam family "Bacterial small subunit ribosomal RNA", at positions 94 to 823 of the family's 1533-position model. The record is from RNAcentral.
AGUGGCAAACGGGUGAGUAACGCGUAAGCAACCUGCCCUUCAGAUGGGGACAACAGCUGGAAACGGCUGCUGAUACCGAAUACGUUCUUUUUGUCGCAUGGCAGAGGGAAGAAAGGGAGGCUCUUAGGAGCUUUCGCUGAAGGAGGGGCUUGUGUCUGAUUAGCUAGUUGGAGGGGUAACGGCCCACCAAGGCGACGAUCAGUAGCCGGUCUGAGAGGAUGAACGGCCACAUUGGGACUGAGACACGGCCCAGACCCCUACGGGAGGCAGCAGUGGGGAAUCUUCCGCAAUGGACGAAAGUCUGACGGAGCAACGCCGCGUGAACGAUGACGGCCUUCGGGUUGUAAGGUUCUGUUAUACGGGACGAAUGGCGUAGCGGUCAAUACCCGUUACGAGUGACGGUACCGUAAGAGAAAGCCACGGCUAACUACGUGCCAGCAGCCGCGGUAAUACGUAGGUGGCAAGCGUUGUCCGGAAUUAUUGGGCGUAAAGGGCGCGCAGGCGGCGUCGUAGGUCGGUCUUAAAAGUGCGGGGCUUAACCCCGUGAGGGGACCGAAACUGCGAUGCUAGAGUAUCGGAGAGGAAAGCGGAAUUCCUAGUGUAGCGGUGAAAUGCGUAGAUAUUAGGAGGAACACCAGUGGCGAAGGCGGCUGUCUGGUCUGCAACUGACGCUGAGGCUCGAAAGCAUGGGUAGCGAACAGGAUUAGAUACCCUGGUAGUCCAUGCCGUAAACGAUGAGUGCUAGGUGU